UACCAUCCCAUGAAAUUGGAACUUCAGCCUUUUAAUGGGAAGACGCUUCUGCUCUCCUUUCAUUGAUCAUUGGCUUAUUCUAAUAAGAGGUUGCUACCGAGAAAUGUCUUUCUCGUGAGCCUGGGAGCCAUUCCUAUAAAAGAGAGGAAGGAAGAGUGAUAGAGAGUUUGAAACAUCGAUGAGAGAGAAACAUCGAGCAGCUGCCUCCUG
Molecule: long non-coding RNA, 210 nt
Organism: Eptesicus fuscus (big brown bat)
Lineage: Eukaryota; Metazoa; Chordata; Mammalia; Chiroptera; Vespertilionidae
Exons: 3
Source: RefSeq, a predicted model, not a curated record